This 416-nucleotide long non-coding RNA is filed under the name Homo sapiens (human). RNAcentral's name for it is "non-protein coding lnc-CRISPLD1-1:2". The record is from RNAcentral. Lineage: Eukaryota; Metazoa; Chordata; Mammalia; Primates; Hominidae.
GAAACAGAAGUCAGUAAGGAGUGUGCUGAGAAGUGAGGAGAAGAAUAAAACUGGAUAUGUUCAUGUGUGGAUAAUUCAGUUUUGUUUAGACCCCCACGAAUCACGCCGCCCGAGUUAACUUAGUUGUUUUUGGUGCUCAAUUAUUAUAGUGAUGACGCCCAAUGGAUACCUGCACUUGUGAAGUCCCUGUCUCAUCGAUCUAAGCGAAGCUAUAUGUGACUUGCUUUGGCCAGUGGCCAUUACCAGAUGAGAUGCCCGCGUACACAGGAAAAGCCCUUUUGAAUUGGGGCUUGGACAUUCUUGCUCUUGAUAACACUGCUGCCAUGUAGAAGCCUGGGUUAGCCCAUCUGAGGACACGACCAUGAAGAGCAGACAUGAGCCUUCCUAGCUGAGGCCACAAGCUGACACACCAGCUG